UUACCGCCGGUUCAACUGGUGGUACCUUGCUACGGUACAUCUUCUGCCGUUUCAAACGGCGGUACAGGUAUAGAUUUGCAAUUUUUUUGUUUGGCGAUAUAUUUUUGCAAAAUACUAAAAUAAAAAAUAUAAAAAAAUCCCAAAUGCCAUACUGGUUCCACUUCCAACCAAGCAAGACUAACACUUGCAGCCCACUUAUCGUCAGUUCAUUAGCGCACACAAAAUUUUGCCAUGCAAAUAGUGGAAAACUAUAAUUUUGCCUCGUGUUGUUUUCUGAUUGCUCAUCCUCACCACUAUUGCUACCUCUUUUGCCUUGGUCUUUCUGAUCCUGUCCUUCCUCACCUUUGCAAGAUGAGAGAGAACGGCGGUGGGACGAGGGGAGCCACAAGGAAGGCGU
Molecule: long non-coding RNA, 397 nt
Filed under: Setaria italica (foxtail millet)
Lineage: Eukaryota; Viridiplantae; Streptophyta; Magnoliopsida; Poales; Poaceae
Description: long non-coding RNA (SITA_LNC005273)
Source: RNAcentral